GUGGUAUAUCCAUACAAUGGAAUAUUCUUCAGCAAUAAGAAGGAAUGGACUGCUUGCUACAUGUCGUAUGGGUAAACCUCAAAAACAUUAUGCUUAGUGAAAGAAGCCAGAUCCAAAAGAUGUCUGCUGUAUGAUUCCAUUUAUAUAUGAAAUGUCCAGCAAAGGUAAAUCUAUAGAGACAAAGUAGAUGAGUGGUCACCUGGGCUGGGGUAGGAGUAGGGAGCUUUGGGGGAUGAUAGAGAGGGACUGUGGUGAGGAAUUGUACAACUGCAUAAACUUAAUAAAAAUCAUUGAAUUUAUAUUUAAAACAGGUGAAUUCUAUGGGAAUGUAAAUUAUCUUAAUACAGUUCUUAAAAAAGUAAACCCUUCUUUCAGCUUCUACUUGUACCUUGGUUAUGCUGACCCAAGAUGUUCCAUUAUACUGACUUUUUUAACUAAAAAAAAAAAAAACCUUACACCUGUUUUCCAUACCUCGCAGUUGAUACAUCCCUCCUGGUCACAAAUCUGCCUUAUUCUAUUUAACAGUCAUAUCUUCAUUUGGAUGCCAAGUAGAGCCAGAAUCGCAUAAUUUAUUGCUCAUCUGUUCAUUCCUACCACUUUUUCACACAGGCACUUCAUUUUUAUGAAAUAUUUUGAUUAUUUUCCCCUCUGGUGAUUGAAGAAGAUCAACAGUUGCUAUGAUUGUGACUUCUUGCCGAGCUGCUGUGAGGAGUUCCAGCCACUCUGGGUUUGCCCUGGACACCUGCUGCGGUGUCGAGCUCACCUCCGACAAACAGCUCAAUCCCACCCGCAGCCUUGAUCUUCUCUUCAAAGGCAUCACACUCAGCCUGCAGCUCGACCCAGGCCCCCCUUCACCACCCCUCGACAACCCCCACCUGGCUAGAUACUCUACUGUUGAACUCUUCCUCAAUAAAUAGAGAGGUCAUGGGAUCAUCUUGGAUCACUAGAGCAGGUGGAGGCCUGGAGAGGUGUGUUCUUUCAGUACCAGAGAGGGGCGCUCCUACCGGCCUGCCUUGCUUUGCAGAUCCUGUUUCCCCCAAAGAACACACGGCAAAGAAAUGAGAACACACCACACGUGUGCUCCACAGUCAGCUGGGCGACCACAUCCUGCAGUUCCCGUGACUCGGCUCGCCUCUUCCUUGGGCCUCGCUGUGGUUCCGGAGCAGCUUGAGAGAGUGGGCUUCUAAUGGUGAGGCCCUGAUGAGCCCGGGCGGUGGAGCUAACACAGUUUGAGGGACUUGUUCUUUGGCCUCAGUGUUGGUGUCUUUUGUUUUUUUAAAUUCAGUUAGAAAUCUCAUCUCAGCCUGAGGAUUGCAGAUAUUUCACAGUGAGGUUCCCACCCCAAUCUUCAAACACUUCAGAUGAUACCUCCAGGUUUGCACCAGUUGCCCUCAGAUGGUACAGGAAGUGACUUCAUGGGACCUUAAUUGGGCCUGUUUCCCCAGAGUUACCCUUUCUGUAGGGAACCAGUGCAGGUGUCUGUUAAGUCUGGAGGCUCUUGAUUCUGCAUGAGGACUAAUCAGGAAGGCCUGGGUUUAAAUUCUGGUCUUGCCAAUGUCGACUUCUUGAGUGAGUGACUCAAGCCAAUGACUCAGCUUCUCCAACUCUUAAUUUUCUUAUCUGGAACUUGGGAAUUGAGUGGAAAUUACGUAAUAGUGACCUCAUGUAGCUGUUGUAAGCAUUAAAUGAAAACCAGUGGGCCCUGCAUAUCUGUGGUUCCAAAUGCACAGAUUCAGCCAACCUCAGAUGGAAAAUAUUCAAAAAAUAAUUCCUGAAAGCUCUCAAAAGGCAAAACUUGAAUUUGCUCUAUGCCUGGCAACUGUUUACAUCGCAUUUAUGUUGUAUUAGGUGUUAUAAGUAGUCUAGAGGUGAUUUAAAGUAUAUGGGAAGAUGUAUGUAGGUUAUAUGCAAAUACUGUGUCAUUUUAUGUAAGAGAUUUGAGCAUGCAUGGAUUUUAGUAUUUGUGGGGGUCCUGGAACCAAUUUCCUGGGGAAACUGAUGGCUGACUGUGUUAGCAUAGCAUAGCAUGGCUAGCCAUGUUACCGAUACCCCUUAUUUCCUCCUACCCUCCUUACAGCUCUCUCUGUCUAACCCUGAAAUACUCUCUACCCUAACCUUCUCCCCUCACCUUCUCCCCUCCUCAGGCUCCUCCCACUCCAUGCCUGGGUUUAAACUGUUACCCAUACUCAUCCUUCCAUCCUCUUGUUUUGGAACUAAAGUUGGCUAACUAAAAGAAUUGUGAGUCCCUCCCCAGCCCAGAUUUUUUGCUUGUGAGUUUGUCUAUGCAGUCUCUGUUCCUUUUCCUUGCUUCCUGUGGUGAAGGCAGAUGUGAUGCCUGGAGCUGGGGAAGCCAUAUUAUAACUAUGAGGCAAUAAACAUGAAGGAAGAGUGGAGGAUAGAAGGAACUUAAGUCCUUGAUGUUUGACAAGUGCUAGGCCUCUGCUUCUGCACUUCCUUUAAGGAAAUAACAAAUAUCUGUGUGGUAUUUAUUUAAGCCACUGCUGGUAGAUUUUUCUGUGUCUUGAGAUUAAAAACAUGACUCACUGUUACAGCAGAUGAUUCAGGUCUUCCUUGGGGUUUAUGUUGGUAUUAUGGGGAGAUACCUUUCUUCUACAGGAAUUUUGAGCUGUGAAAUCCAGGAAAGCUUAGAGCUGCCAGUGAGGAAAGUAGAAACAAUAGAAGGGAUACAAAGCUGUGUAACAUCAUUUGAGCUGCCUAGAUCUAGCCAUGUCCAAAGCCAAAUAUACUCUGUUGGGUUUAAGUUGGGUGAAUGAAUGAGGGAGUACAAAAAUAAUAUCUUUUUUUCCCUGAGGCUAGUUAGGGGAAACUCUGGAAGAAUAUUGAGUUAUCUAUUGCUGCAUAACAGAUUACCCCAAAACUUAAUGGCUGAAAGCAAUAAUUACAAUAAGGGGGGCUAAAAAGAAAUGUGCUGUCAAGCCAUGAAAAGACCUGGAGGAAACAUCAAUGUGUGUUACUGAAAAGGCUACAUAUUGUAAUAUUCCAACCGUAUGAUGUUCUGAAAAAGGCAAAACUAUGGAGACAAUAAAAAGCUGGUUGCCAGGAGUUAGCAGGGAGGGUGAGAUGAAUAGGUAGAGCACAGAGGUUAUAGGGUAGUGAAACUAUCCUGUAUGACACUGUAGUGGUGGAUACAUGUGGUUAUACUUUUGUCUGAACCCUGGAAUGUACAAGAGUGAACUCUGAUGUAAACUAUGGACUUUGGGUGAUUAUUAUGUAUAGGUUUGUCACUUGUAACAAGUUUGCCACUCUUAUCAGUAUAUUGAGUGAAAUCUCAUGAGAGACCCUGACCCAGAAUCACUCAGCUAAGUCAGUCCUGAAUUCCUGACCCACAGAAGCUGUGAGAUAAUAAACGUUUGUUGUUUUAAGCUGCUAAAUUAUAAAGUCAUUCGUUAUGCUGCAAUAGAUAACUCAGCACACUCAGGAAAAUUCCAUAGGUGGGGUAGGUGUUAAGCAGGGGAUUCAACCCCUGUUUCUCUCCCCUGUGCAUGGAGGUGCGUCAUCUGACCCACCAGAGACUCCAUUCCUCAGACCACACAUUCCCACGUUGAGCUGCCCUCCGCCAUGUUUGUGGAAUCCCCUGCUAAGGCUUCUACUGAGCCUUUCUUCCUGUUACUUGCUGUUUUCUAAUUACCUGAGGCCAUGUCUUACCUUCAUUCCCUGUAGCUGUUUCUCACUGAUCUUUGCAUUUUCCAUACCACGUAGCUCACUACUUUGCACAUAAAAGCCAAAGCCCCACGUGUUUCAGAGCAUUGGCUCUGGAGCCCAUUGGGUUCAGAUGCUAGAUCAACCACUUAUUAGCUGGGGCACUUUCUUAAUCUCUGUGCCUCAGGUUCCUCAACUGUAAAAUAGGGAGAGUAAUGGUAGCUACUUCAUAGGAUUGUUUUGAGCAUUAAAAUACAUUGUCACGUGGAAAGCAUUUGGAACUAUGCCUGACACGUGGCAACUGCUCCAUAAAUAUCACUUACUAGAUUGAAUCAUACAAAAAUUGUCAUUUUUCUGGGUCAAAAAACUAAAUAUGGGCAAUUUCACAUAGUUUAAUCUCAUAUUAUUAUUUUUAUCCUUUCACCAGAGUUAUAUUCAAAGAAACAGUCCGGCAACCCAAAACAAUUACAAUUGUUGGUAACGUCUCUAGAAGAAUGUUAAAGACAAUCCAAAUCAGAACUCAGAGCACCUCUUAAAAUUCUCCUUGCCUCAUUCUUUUUACUGUUGUUACCAGGAAACCUUUUCCACUGCUCAUUCUAAACUCCUAACUAAAAAAAUCUCUGCCCCAACACUCCAUCCCACAUAACCAGCCAAAGUAGGUGACUGCCUUGCCCAUCCUUCAACUUACCUCCAUUCUCCUCCUCACAGUAAAUUUCUUUUUUGAUGCAGACACCUGGGUUUAGCUUCCCAGGUGUCUCUCUUUUCCUCUCUCUCAUUGCAAAAACCUAGACAUGAUACUGCCCAAAACUGGCUUCCCAGAGAGCAGAAGAGAGGGGAGAGGCUGAGAAGGCAAAGGUGAAAUUCCUUCUUUUAAAAAAAUUUUAAUUAUGGUAAAAACAUACAAAGUUUACCAUCUUAACCAUUUUUAAGCAUCCAGCUCAAUAGUGUUAAGUACAUUCAUGUUGUACAACCAAUCUCCACGACUCUUUCCUCUUGGCAAACUGAAACUCUAUACCCAUUAGACAACAACUUUCCCAUUUCCUCCUGCCCCGAGUCCCUGCAGCCACUGUUCUACUUUGUUUCUAUGAAUUUGAUUACUCUAGUUUGCUCAUAUAUGUGGAAUCAUGUGGUAUUUGACUUUUGCAACUGACUGACUUCAGUUAGCACAGUGUCCUCACAUACAUACAUACACACACACAUACAUACAUACAUACUAUAUUAUUUUAUCCAUUCAUCUCUCCAUGGAUACUAAGGUUGCUUCUAUCUCUUGGCUAUUGCAGAAUUUCUUUUAAAUGGGGAAAUAUGAACAAAUUUAGUAAUUUCAGGCUCCUUCACAAGGGGAAGACAGUGUAAUAAACUGCAUGAUUGUGUUGUUCAAAUAUUAAAUGGGGAAGCAGGUCAGGGCCCCAAGAGAGCCACAUCGGUCAGAGUUGGACAGACUUGGGUGGCAUAUCCAGGAAUGGAUGCCAGAGCUACACUGUUUGGCUUUGAAUUCCAGCUCUACCACUUACCAAUUGGUUAACUUCUGGGAAGUCAGUUUCUUUCUGACUAAUUGGUUCAUCCAUGAAAUAGGAAGAAUAACACCUACCUUAUUGUAUGGACUAUUAUUGCCAAGAGUAGUUACCUCAGGGGAGGAAUAAAUGAUUUAAUACAUGUAAUGCACUUAGAACAGUGCCUGGCACUGAGUUAGCUGUCACUAAGGGAUCAUUAUUAUUAUUAGGGUUUUGAGAUGGGCCUUGAAAGAGAAUCAGGGUUUGGUCGCUGAAGAGGAGGAGGGUGGCAUUACAGACAGGGAUGAUCAGAGGCAGGAAGGCACUGAGGCUGGGGGAGUAGUGUUUCCAGAGUUAAGAAACAAAGACACAGGAUAUCCAGUUAAAUUUGAAUUAUGGCUACUUGCCUGUGCAUAUGUACUUUGAGAGAAAAGAAAAAUAUCGCAUGAGACAUACUUAUUCUAAAAGCAUAUUUUGGGGAAUUACCUGGUGGCGCAGUGGUUAAGAAUCUGCCUGCCAGUGUAGGGGACAUGGGUUUGAUCCCUGGUCCAAGAAGAUCCCACAUGCCACGGACUAAGCCCAUGCGCCACAACUACUGAGCCUGUGCUCUAGAGCCCACGAGCCACUAAUGAGCCCGUGCGCCACAACUACUGAAGCUCUUAAUCUUUGUUUUGCAGGAUUUGCUUAUAAAAUUCCUCAAAGUUACAGUCUGUGUUUCUUUUACAUCUGUGUUUCUUUUACAUUUUGAUAUGAUUUCUUUAGUGGUCACAUCUAACUUAUUGUGUUGUUGGCCGUUGAACAUUCACUAAUGAGAAAUUGUGCUCAGCGUUAGCAUUAUGAGCCAGUAUAUAGAACAUGUACUGUCAUAAAGUUAACAACUCUGAGAAUUAGUCUUCAGAUUUCAUUGGUUGAAGCCCAUAAUACAGUCUUUCACAGCAUAACUUGCUUUUCCACUCUUCAGGAUUACAUUGUACCUUUUGAUCAACAACUUUUUAAAAUGUGCACAAACAAAAAGGAGCAUUGUCAUCAGUGUUUAUUCUUUUUUUCUUCAACAGUGCACCUGAUGAUUCCACCUGUUUCCAUGCUAAAAGCGUAUUUAGUAACAUCCAUGGAAAAGAAUUGAAGUUGUCAAUUUAUGAAAUCCAUUUCAAAAGAUAAUCAUAGCAAGUGCUACAAUAAUUAUCCACUUUGGGCUGAAAUUUAUUUUCCUGCUCACAUAAUGUUGUCCCUUUUAAGAACAGCUUUGGUAAUAAAAGGGAUACAUUUUCCAUCAAUACUUCUUUAACACAUUCAACAAGUUCCUUUAAGCAAUGGAGUACUGCAGUAACACUGUUGGCUCUUCUUUCAGUUUGCAUAAUCCUAUCACUAAAUUGAUACUGAAAACUAGGAACAAACUUCAUUCGGCGCAUUAUUUAAAAAGCCAACAAGAAUUUUGGGGUCCUUUUCUUCAGAAUUGAAGCAUAACGUCAGUGCUUCAAAUAAAUGGAGGAUUCUCUCAACUGCAGUUGUUAGAGAGCCAGUGGUUUUUGAAUGUGAGAGAAGUAAAGAAUACUGAAUGCCAAAAAAAUCACAAAAAGAUUUAAAUCGCUUAGUUAGAAUAGUGUAAAUGCUGAAGUAGGAGAACAUUGCAUGACAGUUAUUUCAAUCUCAAAAGAGAAGACAUCAGGUACUCUUUUUUAUUUCUUUUUUAAAAUAAAUUAUUUAUUUAUUUAUUUGACUGCACCGGGUCUUAGUUGCAGCACGCGGAAUCUUCAUUGCGGAAUGCAGGAUCUUUGUUGUGGCAUGCAGGAUCUAGUUCCCUGACCAGGGAUCAAACCCAGGCUCCCUGCAUUAGGAGCACAGAGUCUUAACCACCGGGCCACCAGGGAAGUCCCAACAUCAGGUACUCUUGAGCACAUUAUGCAGAGCACAGGCAGGACCACCAACACCUUCCAUAGAAUUAUUCAUGCUUUGCUUCAGCUUUGAAUAAACGUUGUUUGUACCUUUA
Long non-coding RNA from Physeter macrocephalus (sperm whale), 7137 nucleotides. RefSeq lists it as uncharacterized. The record is from RefSeq and is a predicted model, not a curated record. NCBI's taxonomy places the organism in Eukaryota, Metazoa, Chordata, Mammalia, Artiodactyla, Physeteridae. The transcript has 4 exons.